RNAcentral lists this unclassified non-coding RNA (248 nucleotides) under Hevea brasiliensis (rubber tree). The record is from RNAcentral. Lineage: Eukaryota; Viridiplantae; Streptophyta; Magnoliopsida; Malpighiales; Euphorbiaceae.
AAAAAAUUAAGAAAAAAAAAAGAAAGUUCUAGACUGGUAGUAAUAGGUUGCGCGGCGUGAUGAUGCCGUGAAGAGAUUCAACAGCAUAAGAGGAGGAGACAAAAGAAGAAAAAAACUAAAAAGAAAAAAAAAAGUCACCAGAUCUGGAUCGCAGGUGCGCAGCGUGAGAGUGAGAGGAGAAGAAGGUAGAAGAAGAGUAGAAGAGAGAGGGGAAAGAAUGUGAAGAUGAGAGAGAGAGAGAGAGAGAG